This 668-nucleotide ribosomal RNA is filed under the name Pseudovibrio sp. RNAcentral describes it as "bacterial SSU rRNA". It matches the Rfam family "Bacterial small subunit ribosomal RNA", at positions 26 to 740 of the family's 1533-position model. The record is from RNAcentral. Lineage: Bacteria; Pseudomonadati; Pseudomonadota; Alphaproteobacteria; Hyphomicrobiales; Stappiaceae.
AGAACGAACGCUGGCGGCAGGCCUAACACAUGCAAGUCGAACGGAUCCUUCGGGAUUAGUGGCAGACGGGUGAGUAACGCGUGGGAAGCUACCUUGUGGUAGGGAACAACAGUUGGAAACGACUGCUAAUACCCUAUGAGCCCUAUGGGGGAAAGAUUUAUCGCCAUGAGAUGUGCCCGCGUUAGAUUAGCUAGUUGGUAAGGUAAUGGCUUACCAAGGCGACGAUCUAUAGCUGGUCUGAGAGGAUGAUCAGCCACACUGGGACUGAGACACGGCCCAGACUCCUACGGGAGGCAGCAGUGGGGAAUAUUGGACAAUGGGGGCAACCCUGAUCCAGCCAUGCCGCGUGAGUGAUGACGGCCUUAGGGUUGUAAAGCUCUUUCAGCAGUGAAGAUAAUGACAUUAACUGCAGAAGAAGCCCCGGCUAACUUCGUGCCAGCAGCCGCGGUAAUACGAAGGGGGCUAGCGUUGUUCGGAAUCACUGGGCGUAAAGCGUACGUAGGCGGACUGAUCAGUCAGGGGUGAAAUCCCGGGGCUCAACCCCGGAACUGCCUUUGAUACUGUCAGUCUUGAGAUCGAGAGAGGUGAGUGGAACUCCGAGUGUAGAGGUGAAAUUCGUAGAUAUUCGGAAGAACACCAGUGGCGAAGGCGGCUCACUGGCUCGAWAC